UACGGAAGGCAGCAGUGGGGAAUAUUGCACAAUGGGCGAAAGCCUGAUGCAGCUAUGCCGCGUGUAUGAAGAAGGCCUUAGGGUUGUAAAGUACUUUCAUCGGGGAGGAAAAAACAAAACUAAUAAUUUUAUUUCUUGACGUUACCCGAAAAAGAAGCACCGGCUAACUCCGUGCCAGCAGCCGCGGUAAUACGGAGGGUGCUAGCGUUAAUCAGAAUUACUGGGCGUAAAGAGCACGUAGGUGGUUUUUUAAGUCAGAUGUGAAAUCCCUGGGCUUAACCUAGGAACUGCAUUUUGAAACUGAAAUACUAGAGUAUCGUAGAGGGAGGUAGAAUUCUAGGUGUAGCGGUGAAAUGCGUAGAUAUCUGGAGGAAUAUCUGUGGCGAAAGCGGCCUCCUAAACGAAUACUGACACUGAGGUGCGAAAGCGUGGGGAGCAAACAGGGAUUAGAUACC
Molecule: ribosomal RNA, 455 nt
Filed under: uncultured bacterium
Lineage: Bacteria
Description: bacterial SSU rRNA
Rfam family: Bacterial small subunit ribosomal RNA
Source: RNAcentral